This 64-nucleotide transfer RNA is filed under the name Odontoglaja guamensis. Its description in RNAcentral is "tRNA-Val". Lineage: Eukaryota; Metazoa; Mollusca; Gastropoda; Cephalaspidea; Aglajidae. The record is from RNAcentral.
AUAAGCGGAGUAUAUCCAGUACAUUUCACUUACAAUGAAAAAGACUAAUUUCUUAGCGCUUAUU